UCCUUGUUAUGCAAGGCAGUCUCCUUAGAAAAGUUCAACUAAGGACAAGGGUUGCGCUCGUUUACGGACUUAACCGAACACCUCAAGGCACGAGCUGACGGCAACCAUGCAGCGCCUGUCUCUCCGUUCCUUACGGCACUGCUCCCUUUCGGGUGCAUUCGGAGGAUGUCAAGCCCUGGUAAGGUUCCUCGCUUAUUGUCGAAUUAAACCACACGCUCCACCGCUUGUGUGGGUCCCCGUCUAUUCCUUUGAGUUUUAGUCUUGCGACCGUACUACUCAGGCGGAUCACUUAUCGCGUUUGCUUAGACACCGGGAGGGUCGAACUCCCGACAUCGAGUGAUCAUCGUUUACGGCAUGGACUA
RNAcentral lists this unclassified non-coding RNA (362 nucleotides) under uncultured bacterium. RNAcentral's name for it is "contains 16S-23S intergenic spacer region". The record is from RNAcentral.